This 468-nucleotide ribosomal RNA is filed under the name uncultured bacterium. RNAcentral's name for it is "partial 16S ribosomal RNA". It matches the Rfam family "Bacterial small subunit ribosomal RNA", at positions 28 to 507 of the family's 1533-position model. The record is from RNAcentral.
GACGAACGCUGGCGGCGUGCUUAACACAUGCAAGUCGAACGGAAAGGCCCUGCUUUUGUGGGGUGCUCGAUUGGCGAACGGGUGAGUAACACGUGAGUAACCUGCCCUUGACUUUGGGAUAACUUCUGGAAACUGGGGCUAAAACCGGAUAUGAGCUCCUGCUGCACGGUGGGGGUUGGAAAGUUUCGGCGGUUGGGGCUGGACUAGCGGCUUAUCAGCUUGUUGGUGGGGUAGUGGCUUACCAAGGCUUUGACGGGUAGCCGGCCUGAGAGGGUGACCGGCCACAUUGGGACUGAGAUACGGCCCAGACUCCUACGGGAGGCAGCAGUGGGGAAUAUUGCGCAAUGGGCCGAAGCCAGAUGCAGCAACGCCGCGUGCGGGAUGACGGCCUUCGGGUUGUAAACCGCUUUCGCCUGUGACGAAGCGUGAGUGACGGUAAUGGGUAAAGAAGCACCGGCUAACUACGUG